This 504-nucleotide ribosomal RNA is filed under the name uncultured bacterium. RNAcentral's name for it is "partial 16S ribosomal RNA". It matches the Rfam family "Bacterial small subunit ribosomal RNA", at positions 30 to 523 of the family's 1533-position model. The record is from RNAcentral.
AUUGAACGCUAGCGGCAUGCUUAACACAUGCAAGUCGAACGGCAGCGCGGGUAGCUUGCUACCUGGCGGCGAGUGGCGGACGGGUGAGUAAUGCGUAGGAAUCUACCUUAUAGUGGGGGAUAACCCGGGGAAACUCGGGCUAAUACCGCAUAAUCUCUACGGAGCAAAGCGGGGGACCUUCGGGCCUCGUGCUAUAAGAUGAGCCUACGUCGGAUUAGCUAGUUGGUGGGGUAAAGGCCUACCAAGGCGACGAUCCGUAGCUGGUCUGAGAGGACGAUCAGCCACACUGGGACUGAGACACGGCCCAGACUCCUACGGGAGGCAGCAGUGGGGAAUAUUGGACAAUAGGGGAAACCCUGAUCCAGCAAUGCCGCGUGUGUGAAGAAGGCCUUCGGGUUGUAAAGCACUUUCAGUGGGGAAGAAAGUACCAAAAUUAAUACUUUUGGGUGUUGACGUUACCCACAGAAGAAGCACUGGCUAACUCUGUGCCAGCCGCCGCCGUAA